GAAGCGGGAAGAGCUCAAAUUUAUAAUCUGGCACCUUCGGUGUCCGAGUUGUAAUCUCUAGAAAUGUUUUCCGCGUUGGACCGCACACAAGUCUGUUGGAAUACAGCGGCAUAGUGGUGAGACCCCCGUAUAUGGUGCGGACGCCCAGCGCUUUGUGAUACAUUUUCGAAGAGUCGAGUUGUUUGGGAAUGCAGCUCAAAUUGGGUGGUAAAUUCCAUCUAAAGCUAAAUAUUGGCGAGAGACCGAUAGCGAACAAGUACCGUGAGGGAAAGAUGAAAAGCACUUUGGAAAGAGAGUUAACAGUACGUGAAAUUGUUGGAAGGGAAACGCUUGAAGUCAGACUUGCUUGCCGAGCAAUCGGUUUGCAGGCCAGCAUCAGUUUUCCGGGAUGGAUAAUGGUAGAGAGAAGGUAGCAGUUUCGGCUGUGUUAUAGCUCUCUGCUGGAUACAUCUUGGGGGACUGAGGAACGCAGUGUGCCUUUGGCGGGGGUUUCGACCUCUUCACACUUAGGAUGCUGGUGGAAUGGCUUUAAACGACCCGUCUU
RNAcentral lists this ribosomal RNA (544 nucleotides) under Rhodotorula mucilaginosa. Its description in RNAcentral is "partial large subunit ribosomal RNA". It matches the Rfam family "Eukaryotic large subunit ribosomal RNA", at positions 95 to 655 of the family's 3401-position model. Lineage: Eukaryota; Fungi; Basidiomycota; Microbotryomycetes; Sporidiobolales; Sporidiobolaceae. The record is from RNAcentral.